Molecule: non-coding RNA, 384 nt
Organism: Xyrichtys novacula (pearly razorfish)
Lineage: Eukaryota; Metazoa; Chordata; Actinopteri; Labriformes; Labridae
Source: the annotation of a GenBank genome assembly
GAUUGGCUUGUGCGUGGCACGCAGCUUCUGAACUCUCGGAGGAACUCAGUUGAUUUCCCCCAGUUCCAUAGUUGAAGAAGUGCAAAUUGGUGGACAUCACCGUGUUCAUUUAAAUGCGUGAGAAAUACAAUGUGUGGUGUGUGAGCGUGUGAACGAGUGGGAAUGCGUGUGUCAUACGCUGAAUGCGUGAGACUUGAGAGCCCUGUGCUCACGCAUCAUCGAUGUACUCCCGAGCCAUGCAAAACGGUCUUUGCAAAUGUUGCACUGAACGCCUUCCUUUUCAGUCUUGGUGAAGUUUUCCCACACCACUGAUGUUUUAGGUCGGGAUUUGGGUUGGGUUGUGUCCAUGUUUUUCUCAGCCGCUGCCUCGGCCAUGGCUGUUUC